GGAGAGAGGACCCGCCUGGAACGCGCCCUCCGGGGUCCGGGGGGGCCACGCUGGCCUUUUCGAGGCCUACCGGGGAGCAAAGGGAAACGCAAGAGGGAGUUUGAGUUGCUGUCAAGCGCCGCAGCCGCCCGACUAUCUGGCUGAGCAGGAUGGCAGUCCCCCAGCCGGCAGAGGAAGGGGGAGGGGAGAGAGGCUGCGGAGAGGAGAGGGCGCUCCCUUGCACUGUGGUUGGCUUCGGAAAGCUUGAGGGGCGCGUCUGUCCCGGAUCCGAGGUGGGCACGGAAUCACCCCCACAGAGCAGUUGGACUGCGGGCGUUUGCGUCUCGGAAAUCAAAGUUAUCAGCGCCUCCCGAGUCUCCACGUCAAGUUUGUGAAAACCGGGCGAUGGCAAUUUGUCUAAGAAAAUAAAAGUCCCAGCCUUUCCAAUGGCCUGGGGGGGGGGGGGGGGGGGGAGUGGGGAGGAGGGGAGAGGAAGCGACAACAGUACCGGCCAGGAGAGGCGGGGCCGCCGCCGUGGGUACCGGGGGCUUCUCCUCCUCCCUCUGUCUGGGCUGGGGUGUCGCUCCGAGGGCCGCCGCCGCCGCCGCCGCCGCCGCCGCCGCCGCCGCCGCCGCCGCCGCCGCCGCCGCCGCGGGAGGAAGCCCUCCUAGCUCAGUCGCAUGUCGCUGGGGUCCGCCUCAGCAGCUGCCGCGGUCGACGGUUCCGUCGCCGCCAAAGUUUACUUGCGAGAGCUUCUUGAUUCCAUCUUCCUGGAGAGGCGCUGGCCGCACUGCGUUGGGCUUAUUCCCUCCCCGGCGCUCGCGCACUCGCGAGUUUGUCUGUCUUUCUCUGUUCUCCUUCUCUGGUACUGGAAGGAAAAAAAGGGAAGAUAGCGCCCCAGAGGUGGUCAUUCAUCCAGUUCUUGGCCGGUGACUCUUCACUUCAGCUGAGAACCGCUGCAGCCAUCCUCCCGGGACCGUCACCUCCAUCACUCCUUCCUGGGCAGACACAGCGCUGUGCCCCCCACCCCCC
RNAcentral lists this long non-coding RNA (1011 nucleotides) under Sus scrofa (pig). RNAcentral's name for it is "lncRNA (ENSSSCG00035065413.1)". The record is from RNAcentral. Lineage: Eukaryota; Metazoa; Chordata; Mammalia; Artiodactyla; Suidae.